This 556-nucleotide ribosomal RNA is filed under the name uncultured Glomeromycotina. Its description in RNAcentral is "SSU rRNA". It matches the Rfam family "Eukaryotic small subunit ribosomal RNA", at positions 548 to 1098 of the family's 1831-position model. The record is from RNAcentral. Lineage: Eukaryota; Fungi; Glomeromycota.
UUGGAGGGCAAGUCUGGUGCCAGCAGCCGCGGUAAUUCCAGCUCCAAUAGCGUAUAUUAAAGUUGUUGCAGUUAAAAAGCUCGUAGUUGAAUUUCGGGAUUGACGUGAUGGUCGUGCCUUACGGGGUAUGAACUGUUGCUGUUGAUUUCUCACCUUCUGGAGAAACUUGAUGUCCUUAAUUGGGUGUCUUGCGGAUCCAGGACCUUUACCUUGAAAAAAUUAGAGUGUUUAAAGCAGGCAUUUUUGCUCGAAUACAUUAGCAUGGAAUAAUAGAAUAGGACGGCAUGGUUCUAUUUUGUUGGUUUCUAGGAUCACCGUAAUGAUUAAUAGGGAUAGUUGGGGGCAUUAGUAUUCAAUUGUCAGAGGUGAAAUUCUUGGAUUUAUUGAAGACUAACUACUGCGAAAGCAUUUGCCAAGGAUGUUUUCAUUAAUCAAGAACGAAAGUUAGGGGAUCGAAGACGAUCAGAUACCGUCGUAGUCUUAACCAUAAACUAUGCCGACUAGGAAUCAGACGAUGUUAAUUUUUUAAUGACUCGUUCGGCGCCUUACGGGAAAC